GAGAGAAUAGGGAGAGAGAGAAGUAUUCUUAUUAAUACUUGGGGUGAUUUACAAUGGUAGAUGGCACCUCUAUUUAUAGGAAGAGUAAUGACUUAGCUUCAAGCUAAAACUCUUAUGACAUUCACUCUAAAUAGACUUCUAUUUUAUAACAAGUUAGCAUUUUUAAAACACACCAUACUUAUCAUAAUUGGAAGAUAAAGAUCUCUUUCGAAUAAGAAUUCUUCAGCAACUACAUCAAUUCAUUUAAAAAGCAGAAAAAUAUCACCGUGCAACUGUAAUAAAUUAUUCCAAAGUGACGAGAAAAAUGUCCUAAAAGAAUAAAGUUAAAAAGUAUAACAAACUAGGAAAAAAAGAAUGAAGAAUCACGUCCUAAAAGAAUAAAGUGAAAAGUGAAACAAACUAGGGAAAAAAAGAAUGAAGAAUCCCAAUUCUAAUCCAACUACAUUUUCCUCCUCCCUGUCAAAUCGUAUCAUAUCUAUUCUCUCAC
RNAcentral lists this long non-coding RNA (487 nucleotides) under Nicotiana benthamiana. RNAcentral describes it as "long non-coding RNA (NBEN_LNC024674)". The record is from RNAcentral. Lineage: Eukaryota; Viridiplantae; Streptophyta; Magnoliopsida; Solanales; Solanaceae.